RNAcentral lists this ribosomal RNA (253 nucleotides) under uncultured bacterium. RNAcentral's name for it is "partial 16S ribosomal RNA". It matches the Rfam family "Bacterial small subunit ribosomal RNA", at positions 524 to 776 of the family's 1533-position model. The record is from RNAcentral.
UACGUAGGGGGCAAGCGUUGUCCGGAGUUAUUGGGCGUAAAGAGCGUGUAGGCGGCUAGGUAGGUCCGUUGUGAAAACUCGAGGCUCAACCUCGAGACGUCGAUGGAAACCAUCUAGCUAGAGUCCGGAAGAGGAGAGUGGAAUUCCUGGUGUAGCGGUGAAAUGCGCAGAUAUCAGGAAGAACACCCGUGGCGAAGGCGGCUCUCUGGUACGUGACUGACGCUGAGACGCGAAAGCGUGGGGAGCGAACAGG